RNAcentral lists this ribosomal RNA (253 nucleotides) under uncultured bacterium. Its description in RNAcentral is "partial 16S ribosomal RNA". It matches the Rfam family "Bacterial small subunit ribosomal RNA", at positions 524 to 776 of the family's 1533-position model. The record is from RNAcentral.
UACGUAGGGUGCAAGCGUUGUCCGGAAUUAUUGGGCGUAAAGAGCUCGUAGGCGGUUUGUUGCGUCGGCUGUGAAAUCCCGAGGCUCAACCUCGGGUCUGCAGUCGAUACGAGCAAACUAGAGUGUUGCAGGGGAGACUGGAAUUCCUGGUGUAGCGGUGAAAUGUGUUGAGAUUGGAAGGAACGCCAGUGGCGAAAGCGACCGGCUGGGUCUUGGCUGACGCUCAGGUGCGAAAGCUAGGGGAGCAAACGGG